Molecule: long non-coding RNA, 749 nt
Filed under: Phasianus colchicus (ring-necked pheasant)
Lineage: Eukaryota; Metazoa; Chordata; Aves; Galliformes; Phasianidae
Description: lncRNA (ENSPCLG00000013362.1)
Source: RNAcentral
CACCCCACAGAUGCUCCCUAUAAACACGCCCCAUGGAUUCGCCCCAUAGAUUCGCCCCACGGAUGCUCCCGAUAAACACACCCCACAGAUUCGCCCCAUAGAUUCACCCCACAGGUGCUCCCUAUAAACACGCCCCACUGAUUCGCCCCAUGGAUUCACCCCAUAGAUUCGCCCCAUGGAUUCACCCCACGGAUUCGCCCCAUGGAUUCGCCCCAUGGAUUCACCCCACAGAUUCGCCCCACAGAUUUGCCCCACGGAUUCACCCCACAGAUUCGCCCCAUGGAUUCACCCCACAGAUUCGCCCCAGAGAUUCGCCCCAUGGAUUCGCGCCACAGAUUCGCCCCACGGAUUCGCCCCACGGAUUCGCCCCACAGAUUCGCCCCACAGAUUCGCCCCACGGCUUCCCGGCCGCAGCGCGGCUCACCGGGGCAGCGGUACAACUUCCUGGCCUGUGCGAUGUCGCCUUUGCUGAGCCGCGCGCGCUGCCCGAUGGGCGGCCGGACGCCGUUCACGUCGUAUUUGGGCAGGAUGGUGUCCAGGAAAAUCCCCCUGCGGGCAGCGCGGCGCCGUGGGGCGCGGAUCAGCACCGCCACACAGGGGGCGCCAUGGGGCACAGCGGGGUGCUGGGGUGCUAUGGGAUGCUAUGGGGCGCUAUGGGGCACAGUGCGGUGCUAUGGGGUGCUAUGGGGCGCUAUGGGGCGCUAUGGGGUGCUAUGGGGCGCUAUGGGGCACAGUGCGGUGCUAUGGGG